RNAcentral lists this small RNA (79 nucleotides) under Anaerococcus hydrogenalis ACS-025-V-Sch4. RNAcentral describes it as "putative SraD RNA". The record is from RNAcentral. Lineage: Bacteria; Bacillati; Bacillota; Tissierellia; Tissierellales; Peptoniphilaceae.
UUAAAUAAUUUUAUACAAAAAAAUCAUCCUUUAUUUCAAGGAUGAUUUUUUAAUUAAUCUAUAAUUAAUUUUUAAUUUG